GUGCUUAUCAAUUCUCACUUUCCCCAGCACUAUUUCUAUGGAGCUCAAUGUACUGCAAUAGCCAUGACAGUGGGAGCCAGAUGCUGCCUCUCAUUAGAUUCUCUUUAUUGGAAAUUUGAACAGAAAAAUAUGGAACGAACUUUAUAAUGAACAGUGGAAUGGGAAGUGAGAGAAUUUCAAGGGAAUGAAAGCUAUGGAAAGUCAAAGGCAUGUGUCAUCUUGAGUUACCAGGGGGCAGAAGAAGUUGGUCAUUAUAGAGAGGAGAAUGGAACUGAUGUGUAGAACGAAGCUGAUAACAUAAAAAAGCAAGAGACAAAAGACAGAUCCUCUGAAAGCUCCAAACAAAAUUUUCCCCACAGCUCCAUGGUAACCUCAGCAGAGGCUCCUGGAGGUGACAGUUCUGGGAUGCAAAGAAGGGCGAAUGAAGUGGGGCAGCUAUUUGUCCAUGUGAGUAUUUGGACUUCCUUGAUACACAUAAGAG
This 481-nucleotide long non-coding RNA is filed under the name Homo sapiens (human). RNAcentral describes it as "HSALNT0045005". The record is from RNAcentral. Lineage: Eukaryota; Metazoa; Chordata; Mammalia; Primates; Hominidae.